UUUCCAUCUCACAGUGCUCAAGACAACGACUAUUCAGGGACAGGCUCAAGGGUCUUUAAUGAGUCUGUCGGAUAGGAACAAAAGAUGUGCCUCGGCAUGUUCAUCCGCCUCUUACAUGAAGGUUCUGAUGAAGGGCUGACCCAAAGAAAAUUACCUUCUUAAUGACAUCUGGAAAAGAUUGAGGCCAAUUCUCUGUAUGCUCAAACUAUGUGAAUUGUUUUAUAUAUGCACAAUGAAGUUACAAGUGUA
Molecule: long non-coding RNA, 249 nt
Organism: Falco peregrinus (peregrine falcon)
Lineage: Eukaryota; Metazoa; Chordata; Aves; Falconiformes; Falconidae
Exons: 2
Source: RefSeq, a predicted model, not a curated record